UUUUUCAGAUGUGUUAGCUAUGGUAAAGGGAGGUGGCAAAGCUUGGCCAGUCUGAAAAACCACAACCACCAUCUCCACACACACCAGGGACAGCAUAGAGGUCGUUCUGUGAAGGAAGUGGGGACCUGGUCCAGCUGUCUGCCUGCACCUCUGCAAUGCUGACCCCUGCUGCAAUGUGUAACUUGCAUUGAUUUCAAACAGCCAAACUUCUUAUCUGAAAAUCCUGGGUGAACUUAGUUGGUUUGUGGAGUUUAAUUUUUAAUACCGUUCACAUCCUCUAGCCAGCCAAAUACCAAGAAUAUCAAUAAAUGUCAAUAAUUAGCUCUGA
This is a long non-coding RNA of Carlito syrichta (Philippine tarsier), 328 nucleotides long. RefSeq lists it as uncharacterized. Lineage: Eukaryota; Metazoa; Chordata; Mammalia; Primates; Tarsiidae. The transcript has 2 exons. The record is from RefSeq and is a predicted model, not a curated record.